This 87-nucleotide transfer RNA is filed under the name Patescibacteria group bacterium. RNAcentral describes it as "tRNA-Leu". It matches the Rfam family "tRNA". From Rfam's summary of the family: Transfer RNA (tRNA) molecules are approximately 80 nucleotides in length. Their secondary structure includes four short double-helical elements and three loops (D, anti-codon, and T loops). The record is from RNAcentral.
GGGCGAGUGGCGGAAUUGGUAUACGCGGAGGACUUAAAAUCCUCUGGAAGAAAUUCUGUGCGGGUUCGAGUCCCGCCUCGCCCACCA